CAUAUGGAGAAUGGAAUUAGAUACCCCAGUAGUCCUAUCUGUAAACGAUGGAUACUAGGUGCUGUGCGUAUCGACCCGUGCAGUGCUGUAGCUAACGCAUUAAGUAUCC
RNAcentral lists this ribosomal RNA (109 nucleotides) under Olea europaea subsp. europaea. Its description in RNAcentral is "Bacterial small subunit ribosomal RNA". It matches the Rfam family "Bacterial small subunit ribosomal RNA", at positions 759 to 869 of the family's 1533-position model. Lineage: Eukaryota; Viridiplantae; Streptophyta; Magnoliopsida; Lamiales; Oleaceae. The record is from Rfam by way of RNAcentral.